AGUGGCGAACGGGUGAGUAACACGUAGGUAACCUGCCCUUAAGACGAGGAUAACCGUUGGAAACGAUGGCUAAGACUGGAUAGGAACAUUGAAGGCAUCUUUGAUGUUUUAAAAGACCUAGCAAUAGGUAUGCUUAAGGAGGGACCUGCGGCGCAUUAGUUAGUUGGUGAGGUAGUGGCUUACCAAGACGAUGAUGCGUAGCCGGACUGAGAGGUUGAACGGCCACAUUGGGACUGAGAGACGGCCCAAACUCCUACGGGAGGCAGCAGUAGGGAAUUUUCGGCAAUGGGGGAAACCCUGACCGAGCAACGCCGCGUGAAUGACGAAGUACUUCGGUAUGUAAAGUUCUUUUAUUAGGGAAGAAUGGUACGUGGAAAAACGUACGUGACGGUACCUAAUGAAUAAGCCCCGGCUAACUAUGUGCCAGCAGCCGCGGUAAUACAUAGGGGGCAAGCGUUAUCCGGAAUUAUUGGGCGUAAAGGGUGCGUAGGUGGCCAUUUAAGUCUUUGGUGUAAGUGCAGUGCUCAACGCUGUGAUGCUAAAGAAACUGGGUGGCUUGAGUGUGGUAGAGGCAAGUGGAAUUCCAUGUGUAGCGGUAAAAUGCGUAAAUAUAUGGAGGAACACCAGUGGCGAAGGCGGCUUGCUGGGCCAUAACUGACACUGAGGCACGAAAGCGUGGGGAGCAAACAGGAUUAGAUACCCUGGUAGUCCACGCCGUAAACGAUGAGUACUAAGUGUAGGAGAAAUUCUGUGCUGUAGUUAACGCAAUAAGUACUCCGCCUGAGUAGUACGUACGCAAGUAUGAAACUCAAAGGAAUUGACGGGACCCCGCACAAGCGGUGGAUCAUGUUGUUUAAUUCGAUGAUACGCGAAGAACCUU
This 880-nucleotide ribosomal RNA is filed under the name uncultured bacterium. RNAcentral describes it as "bacterial SSU rRNA". It matches the Rfam family "Bacterial small subunit ribosomal RNA", at positions 94 to 972 of the family's 1533-position model. The record is from RNAcentral.